GCAGUAGUGGUCCGGUGGAAGAAUUCUCACCUUAUAUGCAGGAGACCUGGGUUCGAUUCCCAGCCAGUGCA
Molecule: transfer RNA, 71 nt
Filed under: Loxodonta africana (African savanna elephant)
Lineage: Eukaryota; Metazoa; Chordata; Mammalia; Proboscidea; Elephantidae
Rfam family: tRNA
About the family: Transfer RNA (tRNA) molecules are approximately 80 nucleotides in length.
Source: Rfam by way of RNAcentral